GACGCUUUGGUGGAGUGGUUAACACGUAUCCCUGCUACUUUGCAGAAAUAGCAGCCUGUUAUUACAGGUGUAAGGAUAUCCUCUCUGAGGGCAUGAGUUCGAAUCUCAUAGGCGUCG
Non-coding RNA from Melanopsichium pennsylvanicum, 117 nucleotides. The record is from the annotation of a GenBank genome assembly. Lineage: Eukaryota; Fungi; Basidiomycota; Ustilaginomycetes; Ustilaginales.